This 656-nucleotide long non-coding RNA is filed under the name Ananas comosus (pineapple). RNAcentral's name for it is "long non-coding RNA (ACOM_LNC040073)". The record is from RNAcentral. Lineage: Eukaryota; Viridiplantae; Streptophyta; Magnoliopsida; Poales; Bromeliaceae.
CGCGCCGCCACCGCCUGGAAACCCUCCCGCCGACCUCCCCCGUGCCCGGGCGCCCCUUCCCGCCGGUCGCCGCCGCCCCGACGCGCCGCCGUCGCCGCCUCGGCCAGCCGCGGCCGCCCAGCCCGAGCCCAGGCUGUUGUUGUUUGCGGUCUCUUUCCCGCGCCGCCGCCGCUUGGGUCCGCACCCGAGGAGUCCCUCCGACCUCCUGCCACCCUCCUCCGCCGUCCCCGACCUUCCCCGGCCGCCGCCGUGGCCGGAGAAACCCGCCGAGCCCGAGCUUCUCUCUUGCGGGCUCGGGUUGCUCCGCCGACGCCGCCGCCGCUUCUCGUCGCCAACCGAGGUGAGCACGGUGUUCCUCACCUCCCCCGCACCCGCCCCUGGCCCCCGCGCGCGCCGCCGUGCCGCCGGAAGCCGGCCGGAGCAAGGUUGCUCCGGCCAAGCCCGAAAUAGGACUUUGUUUGGGGUGUUUGUUGUUCUGGGCUUUCCGAGCCUCCCCGAUCUCUACGGAAGGGAGCACGAUGAUCCUGGCAAGUUGCUGAUCAUCGUGCUCACCUUGGUUUCUGUCGGGAAGGCCCCGUUCCGCUGUUUUGGCGAUGUCGCUCCGUUUCAGCCUUUUUGGCUGCUGUUUCGGGUUUGUGCUUGUUUUUCCGGCGAUC